Non-coding RNA from Apaloderma vittatum (bar-tailed trogon), 84 nucleotides. The record is from Rfam. Lineage: Eukaryota; Metazoa; Chordata; Aves; Trogoniformes; Trogonidae.
GGGCCGGUGAGCUCACUGGUUUGAGCGCGGUGCUGACAAAAAUGACCAACACCGAGGUUGCGGGUUCGAUUCCCACUCGGUCCC